AUUGAACGCUGGCGGCAGGCCUAACACAUGCAAGUCGAGCGGAUGAAGGGAGCUUGCUCCUGGAUUCAGCGGCGGACGGGUGAGUAAUGCCUAGGAAUCUGCCUGGUAGUGGGGGAUAACGUCCGGAUACGGGCGCUAAUACCGCAUACGUCCUGAGGGAGAAAGUGGGGGAUCUUCGGACCUCACGCUAUCAGAUGAGCCUAGGUCGCAUUAGCUAGUUGGUGGGGUAAAGGCCUACCAAGGCGACGAUCCGUAACUGGUCUGAGAGGAUGAUCAGUCACACUGGAACUGAGACACGGUCCAGACUCCUACGGGAGGCAGCAGUGGGGAAUAUUAGACAAUGGGCGAAAGCCUGAUCCAGCCAUGCCGCGUGUGUGAAGAAGGUCUUCGGAUUGUAAAGCACUUUAAGUUGGGAGGAAGGGCAGUAAGUUAAUACCUUGCUGUUUUGACGUUACCAACAGAGUAAGCACCGGCUAACUUCGUG
This 484-nucleotide ribosomal RNA is filed under the name uncultured bacterium. Its description in RNAcentral is "partial 16S ribosomal RNA". It matches the Rfam family "Bacterial small subunit ribosomal RNA", at positions 30 to 507 of the family's 1533-position model. The record is from RNAcentral.